Molecule: ribosomal RNA, 251 nt
Filed under: uncultured bacterium
Lineage: Bacteria
Description: partial 16S ribosomal RNA
Rfam family: Bacterial small subunit ribosomal RNA
Source: RNAcentral
ACGGAGGAUGCGAGCGUUAUCCGGAUUUAUUGGGUUUAAAGGGUGCGUAGGCGGCACGCCAAGUCAGCGGUGAAAUUUUCGGGCUCAACCCGGACUGUGCCGUUGAAACUGGCGAGCUAGAGUGCACAAGAGGCAGGCGGAAUGCGUGGUGUAGCGGUGAAAUGCAUAGAUAUCACGCAGAACCCCGAUUGCGAAGGCAGCCUGCUAGGGUGCGACAGACGCUGAGGCACGAAAGCGUGGGUAUCGAACAG